GAAGAUCCGGAAGAGGACACAGGGAUCUUAGAGUGCACGUAAGCACACAGAAUCCAAACCCGGACGUGUUGAUACGAAUUAACCAAAUUGCAAAUCAUCCUUCACGUCCGUUAAAACUCGUAAUUGCAGCGAAGAUUAUCGCUUACCGGCUCCAUUUUCAGUCAAAAACACGAAAUUAUUCGGUGAGCGAUUAUUAUUCGUCUGCGGCGUAGGGUUUAUGACCUCUUAGACGACUUCAAUAAGCUCCGAUUUCGCGAAAUUCAGUUGAAAUUUUGACCUAAUUUAGUGUUUAUUAUUGUUAGUUUGUGUGUAGGUUGAAAUUUCGAUUGUGAUUUGUGUUUGAAUGUUUAUCGGUCAAAUAGCUAAACUAAUCGGUGAGCGUAGGGUUUAUGACUUCGUAGAAGGCUUCAAAAAGCUCUGAUUUCGCGAAAUUCAGUUGAAAUUUUGCUCUAAAUUAGUGUUUAUUGUUAAAAUUUCGACUGUGAUUUGUGUUUGAACAUAUUUUAUUGGAUCAGCCGUUGAUUUUUUGGAAGCAGAUGAUCAUUUUUAAGGAUUCAACUGCUGAGGCGUAGGGGACAAUUUAUGUGUGGAGUUAGAGAUGGAUUUGGUAGCGAGUUGCAAGGAAAAAUUGUCACAUUUUCGGAUAAGAGAGCUGAAGGGGAUCCUCACCCAACUAGGUCUCUCCAAGCAAGGAAAGAAGCAGGAUCUGAUUGACCGUAUAAUAGCUGUUCUCUCCGAUGAACGCGUUUCAGGAAUGUGGUCCAAGAAAAACGCUGUUGGGAAGGAAGAAGUUGCCAAAUUAGUCGAUGACAUUUACAGGAAACUGCAGGAUUCGGGGGCAACUGAGCUGGCAUCAAAAGGUCACGGUGUGUCAGAUAGUAAUAACACAAAACAUAAAGCAGAAAUCGAAGUCCCUCAUCGGGUGGAAAAAGUCCGUUGCCCCUGUGGUAGUUCAUUGAAAACUGAUUCAACAAUUGAGUGUGAAGAUCCAAGAUGCAAUGUUUGGCAGCAUAUUACUUGUGUUAUUAUCCCGGAGAAACCCAUGGAGGGUAUUUUACCAACACCUCCCCCAAAAUUUUAUUGUGAAAUUUGUAGGCUUGGUCGUGCAGAUCCGUUCUGGGUUACAGUGGCACAUCCGUUACUUCCUGUGAAGAUGGUUAUCGUAAAUGCCCCAACAGAUGGUGCAAAUCCAAUGCAAAGUGUUGAGAAAACUUUUCAACUUACAAGAGCAGACAGGGAGUUGUUGGUGAAACCCGAGUAUGAUGUGCAGGCUUGGUGUAUGCUUCUGAAUGACAAGGUUUCUUUUAGAAUGCAAUGGCCACAAUUCGCAGAGCUACAAAUCAAUGGAGUGCCUAUGCGUGCAAUAAAUAGACCUGGUUCUCAGUUACUAGGAGCCAAUGGCCGUGAUGAUGGUCCUAUUAUCACACCAUGUACUCGAGAUGGAAUCAAUAAAGUUACCGUAACAUGCUGUGAUGCUCGGGUGUUCUGUUUCGGUGUUCGGAUUGUGAAAAGGCGCACAGUUCAACAGAUUCUCAAUCUUAUACCCAAAGAGGCUGAUGGUGAGCGAUUUGAAGACGCCCUUGCACGUGUUCGUCGGUGUGUAGGAGGUGGUGCCGCCACAGAAAAUGCUGACAGUGACAGUGAUCUGGAGGUUGUUGCUGAAAAUAUAUCUGUUAAUCUACGCUGCCCUAUGAGUGGUUCAAGAAUGAAAAUUGCUGGAAGAUUUAAACCUUGUCUUCACAUGGGCUGUUUUGAUCUUGAAGUGUUUGUGGAAAUGAAUCAACGGUCUCGUAAGUGGCAAUGCCCUAUUUGUCUCAAGAACUAUGCUUUGGAGAACGUCAUUAUCGACCCAUAUUUUACUCGUAUCACAUCUAAGAUGCGUAAUUGUGGGGAGGAUGUGACCGAAAUCGAGGUGAAGCCAGACGGUUCAUGGCGAGCAAAAUCAGACGAUGACCGAAGGAGUCUAGGUGAUCUAGGGCAGUGGCAUUCACCCGACGGCACUCUUUGUGUCCCCAUGGAAGUCGAGUCAAAACCGAAAUUAGAACCUCUAAAGCAGGUCAAACAUGAAGGUGGUUCGGAAGGUCAUAACACAGGAUUAAAACUCGGAAUGAAAAAAAAUAAAGACGGACUUUGGGAAGUCAGAAAACCCGAAAAUAUGCAUUCACUUUCUUCCUGUAGUAAGCUACCGGAAACCGUUAUGAACAACGGUCAUCAUAAAUCUAUUCCUAUGAGCAGCAGUGCGACCGGCAGCGGUAGAGACGGUGAGGCUACUAGCGUCAAUCAGGAGGGUGGUGGUUGUGGGCGGUUUGACUUUUCUAUCCCUAACGGGACUGAGCUUGAUUCCCUCUCGCUCGGUGUUGACCGUAACCAUAUGGGUUCGGCAGGCAGGGAUGCAGACGUUAUCGUUCUCAGUGAUUCAGAAGAGGAAACCGAGAACCUAAUUCCUUCGGGACAAAUUUAUAACAACAAUGAUGAUAAUAAUAAUAAUAAUCCAGAUGUUGAACGGGUUUCUUUUUCUAGUCAUCAACUUGUUAUUCCUGAGCCACCUCCCGAACUGGGUCUUUUUAACGCGGAUGAUUUCGACGUUCCGUUUUGGUCUUUACCUCCUAGUAAUCAGUGUGAGCCGAGCUUUCAGUUAUUCGGUUCCGAAGCGCACCCGACAGAUACGUUACUUGACUUACAUAACGGUCAGUUCGGUUCCACAUCAAUGAGUGUCGGAACCUUCUCAUUGGCUGGUGAAACUUCCAUGGGUUCUGGUUCUGGUUCUGCACCACUUGUUCCUAACUCUUCACAUCAUCAAUCGAUGAAUAUCAACAAUGAGUUGGUUGAUAACCCGUUGGCUUUUGGUGAUGACCCUUCACUGCAGCUGUUUCUUCCAACAAGACCAUCAGAAGCAGCACAACAGGUUGAGUUGCCAGAUCAGCUGCCAGCUAUGUCAAACGGUCUUCGUAGUGAUGAUUGGAUAUCACUCAGGCUAGGUGGCGGCAGCGGCGGCAGUGGCGUCCAUUGUGAACCUGAUGCUGCCGCUAAUGGGUUAAAUCAGAGACCGCAGCCACCAUCAAAGCCGCCAUCAAAGGACGGUGCAUUGGAUUCAUUAGCAGAUACUGCUUCAUUGCUUCUUGGAAUGAGUGAUGGUAGACCGGAUAAGAUAAGUAGGGAAAGAUCCGAUAGUCCUUUCUCAUUUCCUCGUCAAAAACGUUCAGUCAGACCUAGAUUAUAUUUAUCUAUUGACACAGAUUCUGGAGAAGAUAUAUAACCAGCAUGGUGUUGACCAUUUGACCCGCAUUUUUUGCAUCAAGUUCAUUCUAGAAAUAUGAUGGCUCAUAACUCUCCGGUCCGCAACAGGACGUGUAGCCAGUUAUCGGGUCACUAUUAUAAUGGGUGCGAAUCGACCCGUAUGGUUCUGAUGGGUUUUCUGCAUCUAAUAUCAAUGGUUUCUGUUGUUUCUUAUCUUCAAUGCCUCCGGCAAAGGGCAUGUCAAAAUGGGUAUGAUAGUAUGAUACUGAUAGCAACUAUUUAUAUUGGGUUGAAAAGAAUCAAAUUAUCUAAUAAAGCGAACAAUGUAUAAAUGUUAACUCUAUUUAUUUAAUACAUCCGAGUAUUAUGUGUUAAAAAA
Molecule: RNA transcript, 3616 nt
Organism: Helianthus annuus (common sunflower)
Lineage: Eukaryota; Viridiplantae; Streptophyta; Magnoliopsida; Asterales; Asteraceae
Gene name: E3 SUMO-protein ligase SIZ1
Exons: 19
Source: RefSeq, a predicted model, not a curated record